RNAcentral lists this long non-coding RNA (201 nucleotides) under Homo sapiens (human). RNAcentral's name for it is "LHRI_LNC726.1". The record is from RNAcentral. Lineage: Eukaryota; Metazoa; Chordata; Mammalia; Primates; Hominidae.
CACCUAAGUACCAUUUUUAAAAUGUGGUAAGAUACAUAUAACAGGAAUGUCACCAUUUUAACCAUUUUUAAGUGUACAAUAUAGUGGCUUCAAUUACAUUCAUGAUGUUGUGCAACCCUUACCACUAUCUGUUUCCAAAUCUUCACCCCAAACAGAAACUCUGUACCCAUUAAGCAACAAUUUCUCAUUCCUCCUUACCAC